UCAAAUGCGAUGAAGAGAUGAGUAGAUAAAAAGUAUUCUUUCACAGAGAGCUCCGGCAGCUGAAAAGGAGCAAAGAAUUUUUUGUUGAAUAAAGACUCAGAGCAGCACAUCGGAACUUUAAGAAUUGAGGGAUGGUGUGACAGGAGCUCCUGUUACAGAGCAAGAGUAUAAGCGGAUGCGCAUGAGUGAAUGCAGUAAUCCUUAACUCGAAGAGGCUGGUAUGGCGACAUAUUGGCGAAUCUGGGUGGUACCACGAGUGUAACAAUCUCGUCCCUGAG
This 278-nucleotide non-coding RNA is filed under the name Paenibacillus sp. RNAcentral describes it as "T-box sequence". It matches the Rfam family "T-box leader". Rfam says of the family: Uncharged tRNA acts as the effector for transcription antitermination of genes in the T-box leader family. Lineage: Bacteria; Bacillati; Bacillota; Bacilli; Caryophanales; Paenibacillaceae. The record is from RNAcentral.